Long non-coding RNA from Lepidothrix coronata (blue-crowned manakin), 858 nucleotides. RefSeq lists it as uncharacterized. The record is from RefSeq and is a predicted model, not a curated record. NCBI's taxonomy places the organism in Eukaryota, Metazoa, Chordata, Aves, Passeriformes, Pipridae. The transcript is spliced from 3 exons.
GGUGUGGGGUGUCUCACUUGGGCUCAGCCUGGAACUGCUCUGCCCUGCUCCGUGGAUCAGUGGGUAGCUGGAAUAGGGCUCCGAGUGUCAGGUCAGCGUGUCAGUUCCCUUAGACAGUGGAGCCGCUGGCUGUCCAGUGGGUGAGCAGGAUGGUCUUGCGAUGCCCUGCUUGGGUGUAUAGAGUCCCGGCUAGGGAGAGUAGCUAAGAGUGUCUAGGGUUUAGAGGUUUUUGGCUUUGGUUGUGAGUAAUCCCUGAAUGUUUGAGAGCUGAGUGUUUGAGCCUUUCCCCCUUUCAUUUGCGGGGGCGGUCUUGGGAGCAGCUGAAGAGAGAGGAGCUUUGUAGGUGAGUUGGGGAGGCAGCAGGAGGAGCGGGGAUCCACUGCAGCUUUAGAGAUGCCGUCUAAUUUUGUGUCUCACUCACUCAGGUAUCCCGGAAGGUGAGAGCCACAGUGUCGGACUCCGGUCAGGGCCUGGGUGCUGUUAACUUCGAGUACUCUCACGACGACAGGAACCUCUGAGCCAGCCCAGGUGGCCCUCCUGUGCCUCAAAGAUGGAUUGGCAUCCCCGGCUCUCGGCAAGAUAAGUGCCGGGCAAAGAUCCAGAGAGGGGCUGGGAGUCGGUGCAAGUCUGUGCCUCUUCUGGAGGAAUUUUGGAAAUUAGUCUGGUGCAAGGGGUAUCCUGUAACAGGUUAUUUGGACACAUCAAAGGAAGGUCUUACUUUGUAUCAUUGGAUUCCUGUGUGCCGGGCAGAGCAGUUCCAGUCUCUGUCACGUCCUUUGUCUUGUCCAUGUUUUGUGUCCUUUGUCUCUUAAUUGUGUCACAUGGUGUGUGUUGUCACGGGUACAGGACACUCAGGUU